Molecule: small nucleolar RNA, 128 nt
Filed under: Myotis davidii
Lineage: Eukaryota; Metazoa; Chordata; Mammalia; Chiroptera; Vespertilionidae
Description: Small Cajal body specific RNA 24
Rfam family: Small Cajal body specific RNA 24
About the family: scaRNAs are a specific class of small nuclear RNAs which localise to the Cajal bodies and guide the modification of RNA polymerase II transcribed spliceosomal RNAs U1, U2, U4, U5 and U12. ACA12 belongs to the H/ACA box class of guide RNAs as it has the predicted hairpin-hinge-hairpin-tail structure,the conserved H/ACA-box motifs and is found associated with GAR1.
Source: Rfam by way of RNAcentral
UGGACAUUUACUUUAUUCAGUUUCUUCUUCAGGUGAAGAAAACUCUUUGUAAAUAUCCUAGAGAAAUAUAGUAGCUUUCUGUUCACACUUUGCAAGUAAAAGGGUGGAUAGUUCCACUACUAACAUAU